RNAcentral lists this ribosomal RNA (254 nucleotides) under uncultured Neisseriaceae bacterium. RNAcentral describes it as "partial 16S ribosomal RNA". It matches the Rfam family "Bacterial small subunit ribosomal RNA", at positions 524 to 776 of the family's 1533-position model. The record is from RNAcentral. Lineage: Bacteria; Pseudomonadati; Pseudomonadota; Betaproteobacteria; Neisseriales; Neisseriaceae.
UACAGAGGGUGCGAGCGUUAAUCGGAAUUACUGGGCGUAAAGCGAGCGCAGGCGGUUUGUUAAGUCAGAUGUGAAAGCCCCGAGCUCAACUUGGGAAUUGCGUUUGAAACUGGCAGGCUAGAGUGUGUCAGAGGGGGGGUAGAAUUCCACGUGUAGCAGUGAAAUGCGUAGAGAUGUGGAGGAAUACCGAUGGCGAAGGCAGCCCCCUGGGAUAACACUGACGCUCAUGCUCGAAAGCGUGGGUAGCAAACAGG